GGGGAUUAGGAGUGGCGCACCCUGUUUUACCUCAGAAGCAGAUUGUCCAGCUCUGGAUAACUGUGUAACAAAGUUAAACUGUUGCACUGCGCAUGCGUCGAGUGAAGUGAAUACGAGUGGAGCAUGGCGGAGCACGUGACUCACUCAUGCAGACACGUGUCCACUGAACACCCCCCCCCCCCAGUUUAACGGUGAAUCAGAUGGAUCCUUGUUGCCAGCUCCUGCUCUGCUAUUCAACCUGCUGAUGGAAUUAUAAUAACCACACAUGAACAGAAAUGUGUGAAUGCCAAAGUGUGCUGUGCCUGCUGUCUGAGCACAAGAGCGUCCUGACUGCCCCUGUGUCUGCUGUCCAACCUGCGUGUGAAUGCAGUUCUCUGAGACUGCAGGUCCAUUGGAAGUAGUUGGGGAGGCACCAAUGAAAGCUGAUUUCAAACCCAGGUGGCCGGCUCUCUUCCAUGUGCAUGAGGUGUGUGUGGAAUUCAAGAGAAUCACAACGAUCCAUUUAGAGUCAAAGUUCUUCUCUGAGCUGGAUGCUCACUCAGACCCAAUCCAGGUGUUUGCCAAGAAAGGCGGAGUUCAGGGAGACGGAUCAGAAGCAUCAUGGGACCCAUGACUGAGCCGGUGGAUGAGCAGGGCCUGUCUGGCCUCCCUCUCUCUCCCCUCGCUCGCCCGCCUCCUCCACUCCCUCUGCUCUGCCUCCAUAUGCAGAGAGAGGGCGAGCGAGGGGAACACUGACUGGCACAGCUGGAGAGAGAGAGAGAGAUGUAAGCUCUGAUGAUCACAUGACCUCCUCCUCCUCCUCCUCCUGUUGUUCAGAGCUCCUCCCUCUCCGCCAGCUUCUCCUGCAGACAACA
Long non-coding RNA from Limanda limanda (common dab), 854 nucleotides. RefSeq lists it as uncharacterized. Lineage: Eukaryota; Metazoa; Chordata; Actinopteri; Pleuronectiformes; Pleuronectidae. The transcript has 6 exons. The record is from RefSeq and is a predicted model, not a curated record.